This is a long non-coding RNA of Gambusia affinis (western mosquitofish), 226 nucleotides long. RefSeq lists it as uncharacterized. The record is from RefSeq and is a predicted model, not a curated record. Lineage: Eukaryota; Metazoa; Chordata; Actinopteri; Cyprinodontiformes; Poeciliidae. The transcript is spliced from 3 exons.
GACCUGUUGGAGAAGACGACUCUAUGGCCACAUGAGCGAAGAAUCCAGGUGUUCGAUUUCAGCUUUUAUGUGAAGCUGCGUUGCUACUCUGUUGAGUGCUAACAGCGUUGUUAGCCCGCCAUUUCACUGAAGCUAAGGCUUUCUACCCAUGAAAUACAGAUACCAUUUGGAAUGUGAUUCCUCCUGCCUACACAGUGACCUCUGAGGAUUUGGAACAAGCUGUGAG